Molecule: ribosomal RNA, 371 nt
Filed under: Desulfovibrio sp.
Lineage: Bacteria; Pseudomonadati; Thermodesulfobacteriota; Desulfovibrionia; Desulfovibrionales; Desulfovibrionaceae
Description: bacterial SSU rRNA
Rfam family: Bacterial small subunit ribosomal RNA
Source: RNAcentral
GAACGCUGGCGGYUUGCUUAACACAUGCAAGUCKAACGCGAAAGGGACUUCGGUCCUGAGUAAAGUGGCGCACGGGUGAGUAACGCGUGGAUAAUCUGCCCUUAUGAUUGGAAUAACAGUUGGAAACGGCUGCUAAUACCGGAUACGCUCAAAAUGAACUUUUUGAGGAAAGAUGGCCUYUGCUUGCAUGCUAUCGCAUAAGGAUGAGUCCGCGUCCCAUUAGCUUGUUGGCGGGGUAACGGCCCACCAAGGCAACGAUGGGUAGCCGAUUUGAGAGGAUGAUCGGCCACACUGGAACUGAAACACGGUCCARACUCCUACGGGAGGCAGCAGUGGGGAAUAUUGCGCAAUGGGCGAAAGCCUGACGCAGC